AAUGGGAAGUUGCAGGAGAUAAUUACAGAACAAAUAAUGAGCCUUGUCAGCAUUAGCCACCCCGAAGUGAGAAGCACAAAAUGGUGUGCUUGGAGAAGCUGCUGACUGUUGAUAGGCAGGUACGACAGAGCUGACACCAUACUUGAGAGGAUUUUGCUGGUGUUAUCAGCAGCAUGACCAGAAUCAAAGGCGAUGCCAAUAGGCGAUGUCUAAACCCAGGCUGACUCUGUAGUCCAGGACCAAGGAAAAGCAGUGCUUGCAGCACUCUGGCCCUAUGACAAAAUGAAAAUAUUGAGAAGGCUUUGCCUAACUUGCCUACACAAGUGUUUGACAUGGCUUCUGUGCUCGGGUUAGUUGCCUUGGAAACCAGUGGCUGUGCACAUGGGCACGGAGCGGGGCCGCGGUUUGUGGACGUGGCCCUUGGGGGCCCCAUUACUGAAUUUCUUAUGUUUAGAAAUACUUUGUAAUAAGGCCCCUGGUGUCACUUAUUAGCAGUAAAGUGUAGGGCAGCCUUCAUCAGCAUCAACUGCCAAUUUGUUUCUUAUGGAAAUGAACCCACGUUGAUGGCGUGUAAGACUUUUUGGAGGUUUUCUGCUGGAACAGAACCCUCGCUUGCUCUUUUUAUGCUGCCACUUGACACACACUUCUCUCAUUUGCGUGCUUUUCUACUCAUUAUAUUGAUUUCAGCCUUCUUGGUGAAACGAAGUAACAACUUGCAAGGGGAAGAUGUGCAGAGAGAGGGGAAAUAAACUCAUAGAGAAGCAUUUUGUCUGCACCAUGUUCUGCCUUAAAUUACAGUACUGGCG
Molecule: long non-coding RNA, 806 nt
Organism: Cyanistes caeruleus (blue tit)
Lineage: Eukaryota; Metazoa; Chordata; Aves; Passeriformes; Paridae
Source: RefSeq, a predicted model, not a curated record